Molecule: ribosomal RNA, 254 nt
Filed under: uncultured bacterium
Lineage: Bacteria
Description: partial 16S ribosomal RNA
Rfam family: Bacterial small subunit ribosomal RNA
Source: RNAcentral
CGGACGGGUGAGUAACGCGUGGAUAAUCUGCCCUACACAGGGGGAUAACAGCCGGAAACGGCUGCUAAUACCGCAUAGACUGAGCUUUCGCAUGAGAGAACAGGGAAAGAUUUAUCGGUGUAGGAUGAAUCCGCGUCCGAUUAGCUAGUUGGAGGGGUAACGGCCCACCAAGGCGACGAUCGGUAGCCGGCCUGAGAGGGCGACCGGCCACAUUGGGACUGAGACACGGCCCAGACUCCUACGGAAGGCAGCAG